Zea mays is the source of this 1406-nucleotide RNA transcript. RefSeq lists it as uncharacterized. The record is from RefSeq and is a predicted model, not a curated record. Lineage: Eukaryota; Viridiplantae; Streptophyta; Magnoliopsida; Poales; Poaceae. The transcript has 2 exons.
UGCCUCCGCUUCGAUGCCUGGUGGUCGCGCUUUCGUCGGCGCCAUCAGCGGUGGUCGCUAUUCCUUCCCUAUCCGGCGUCCGCGAUGCUCGCCGCCCCUGCUCCCCACGCGUCGGUCGCGUCCCUCCCCACUGGCCCGCCUCGCUCCCCUCCAACCCCAAACUCCCCAGCGGGGGCCAGCCUAGGAUGAAGAGCCAUCGCGCAGGUGGAAACCGCUCCCCCAUUCCAUCGACGGGCGCUCAACCUAGAUCCCCUUCCACCGAUCUCGUGCUCACCUUCCACGUUCGCGGCCGCCACGCUCCGGCGCCGCUCGCCCCAGUCCCGCUCGCGAUCCUUGCCUCCCCUGUCUAUUUCCCUAGACGCGCAGAGCUGGGAGCGCUGAUCCCCACCUCCAACCUCGCUCCCCCCUGUCCUCUGACUCGCCAGCUCCCCCGUCCUCCUCCAUCGCGCUGCGCGUUUGCAACUCCCAGUCCCACCUCCGGCGCGUCUGCCAGCCAGUAGUCAGUAGACUUGAUCAUGUCGUCGCGGAAGCAUCACGAGCUGCCGGAGGGAGGAGCAGGGGAAGCGGCGCCGGCCGCACGGCGGUGUGGGACACCGAGAGCUCCCUGUACGACUCGUACGAGCUGGCCGCCGUGCGCCGGCUCCUCGACAAGCGCCUCCUCGCCCUCCGCGACGCUGAAGAGACGAGGGGCAAGGGCAGGCAACUGGUGGUCGUGCCGGUCGUCAGCAGCAGGGGGGUCCACCACAGGAGGAAGGCCACGCUGAGGGCGCUCUUCAGGGCGGUGGCCACCUGUGCGGCCCCGCCGAGGCAGGCGCCGCCGCUCGCCUGUGCCUGCGCUGCUGGCAUGGUCCAUGACCACCAGGGUGGUUCCGCGGUCGAGCCGGAGGAUCUGCCGUCCCACGGUCAACUUUGAUGAUCAUCCCUGUGUUUAGUCCAUUUGUUCUUGCAUUGCAUUGGCGCAAGUUGUUUUUUUCCUUUUGUGUUUAUCUAUUGCUGUGGGGGUUUUUUUACGCUGUCCUGUUCAUGCGAUGGUUGGCCAUUGAAGAGUACUGAGCCCACCGGAUCUGUAUACGUGAAUCUGCGUGAAGCAUACGAAAGCUUUUGGCGCGACGACACCGCUGUUGCCGCAGCCCCUCAGGACGUCUUGGGUCUUGGCUGGCGGUGUCGGCGGAGCUCAGCUAACAGAAGAUGACGUAGUGCCCUGGGUCGCUUGAUAAGCAGAUGAACUUGGAGCUCCGGCGACGAGCUGCGGAAGCCCGCUAUCUUCACAACAUCUCUCCCGGCAUUCAAGAGCGAAUAAUGUCAAUAAGUGAUAAUGUCAAUAAUGUCAAUAACACACUAAACAUGCCUGCAUCUUUCAUAUGUGUAUUUGUGCUCAAAUCUUUAAUUGCUACUGCUGUUGUUUA